RNAcentral lists this ribosomal RNA (1275 nucleotides) under uncultured Sebacina. RNAcentral describes it as "eukaryotic LSU rRNA". The stretch from base 596 to 1275 matches the Rfam family "Eukaryotic large subunit ribosomal RNA", at positions 1 to 656 of the family's 3401-position model. Lineage: Eukaryota; Fungi; Basidiomycota; Agaricomycetes; Sebacinales; Sebacinaceae. The record is from RNAcentral.
UUCCGUAGGUGAACCUGCGGAAGGAUCAUUAAUGAAACUUCAGUCGGCUUUGUUAUCUGUGCUGGUGGCAUUCACAUGUGCACGGUAACAAGGUCGGCAUAUCCACACACCUGUGCAUCUUAUGACUCCAAGUUGCCCCAUGUGUGCCUAACAGGCCUGGCAAUUUGAGAGUAUUUUACACACUCUUGAAUGUAAUGGAAUGUCUAUUGUGCAUAAUGUACAACAGAAACAACUUUCAACAACGGAUCUCUUGGCUCUCGCAUCGAUGAAGAACGCAGCGAAAUGCGAUAAGUAAUGUGAAUUGCAGAAUUCAGUGAAUCAUCGAAUCUUUGAACGCACCUUGCACCCUUUGGUAUUCCAAAGGGUACACCCGUUUGAGUGUCAUUGUAAUCUCACCUCUUCAGCUUUCUUGUUGAUCAGUGUGGAUCUGGAUGCUGCUGUGACAAACAGCUCAUCUGAAAUGCCUGAGUGUAGCCAACUUCAGUGGUGCAUUUGGUGUAAUAAUCCUUCACCAGAGAAUGGUCCCUUUGGAUCACAUCACUUUUGCUGCGUAUAUGCUUCCAACAGUCUUUCUGAAGACAACAUUUUGACAAUUUGACCUCAAAUCGGGUGGGACUACCCGCUGAACUUAAGCAUAUCAAUAAGCGGAGGAAAAGAAACUAACAAGGAUUCCCCUAGUAACGGCGAGUGAAGAGGGAAAAGCUCAAAUUUUGAAUCUGGUGCCUUUGGCAUCCGAGUUGUAAUCUAGAGAAGUGUUUUCUGUGUUGGGCCAUGUACAAGUCCCCUGGAAUGGGGUGUCAUAGAGGGUGAGAAUCCCGUAUAUGACAUGGACAUCCAAUGCUCUGUGAUACACUCUCAACGAGUCGAGUUGUUUGGGAAUGCAGCUCAAAAUGGGUGGUAAAUUCCAUCUAAAGCUAAAUAUUGGCGAGAGACCGAUAGCGAACAAGUACCGUGAGGGAAAGAUGAAAAGCACUUUGGAAAGAGAGUGAAACAGUACGUGAAAUUGUUGAAAGGGAAGCGUUUGAAGUCAGUCAUGUCCAUUGGGAUUCAUCCUGGCUUCUGCCUGAUGUAUUUUCUGUUGGAUGGGUCAGCAUCAGUUUUGACCAAGGGAAAAAGGCAUGAGAAAUGUGACUGUCUUCGGGCAGUGUUAUAGACUCAUGUUGUAUGUCUUCGUUGGGACUGAGGACCGCAGCGCGCCAUAAAAGGCCGGGGGCUACCCGCCCCUCGACACCGCGCUUAGGAUGUUGGCUUAAUGACUUUAAGCGACCCGUCUUG